GACGAACGCUGGCGGCGUGCCUAAUACAUGCAAGUAGAACGCAGUUGCGAACGGGUGAGUGACGCGUAGGUAAAUGCCUCAUAGCGGGGGGUCACUAUUUGAAACGAUAGCUAAUACCGCAUACUGUGAGAUGGAUCUGCGUUGUUUUAGCUAGGUGGUGGGGUAAAGGCUCACCAAGGCGACGAUACAUUGCCGGACUGAGAGGGUGGACCGCCAAACUGGGAAUUAGACACGGGCCAGAACCCUACGGGAGGCAGCCGGAGGGAAUCAUCGGCAAUGGAGGGAAGGCUGACCGAGCAAAGCCGCGUGAGUGGAGGAAGUUUUUGGGUCGGAAAGCUAUGUUGUGAGAGAAGCGGUAACUAACCAGAAAGGGACGGCUAACUACGUGCCAGCAGCCGCGGUAAUUC
This 407-nucleotide ribosomal RNA is filed under the name uncultured bacterium. RNAcentral's name for it is "partial 16S ribosomal RNA". It matches the Rfam family "Bacterial small subunit ribosomal RNA", at positions 28 to 526 of the family's 1533-position model. The record is from RNAcentral.